This 514-nucleotide long non-coding RNA is filed under the name Homo sapiens (human). RNAcentral describes it as "HSALNT0078076". Lineage: Eukaryota; Metazoa; Chordata; Mammalia; Primates; Hominidae. The record is from RNAcentral.
CUUCCAUAAGCUAAUUUGUAUCCUGCUCUCCUUUCAAGAUUAUGCUGAAUGAUAAGGUAUGCCAUCCACUUAAUGGACUCCCAUUUGUUUGGCCAAAGAAAAUAAAGGAUGAUUCCAGAAGAAAUAUUUUUGUUAUAUAUUGACCUAUCAUUUCAGUUAGGCAAGUUUGAGCAAAUGGAAUAUUAUUGUACAGCUUAAGGUUCCUGUAUUUCAAGAAUAAGAAUGCAAAAGACAAAAACAAAUGGAGUCAAACUUUAGACUCUACUUAUUUUGAAAUUUAUGGUGUGAAUUUGUUUAGGGGACAAUGAAAAUAAUUAAGAAAAAGACCAUCACAAUAAAAGAAUAGCUUAAAAAGCCCUCCAACAGAAUAUAUUGAAGAAGAUGGCAAAAAGGAAUGUUUCAAAAAGUAGAAUGACUAAGUACAAGUUAAUAUGAGAUAGUAAAGGACUUUUCAAUAAAGUGCUAGUUAAAGCAAAUAAAAAUGCCCAAUUCAGGGGAGUCGAUAUAAGAGAAA